RNAcentral lists this ribosomal RNA (1369 nucleotides) under metagenome. RNAcentral's name for it is "bacterial LSU rRNA". It matches the Rfam family "Bacterial large subunit ribosomal RNA", at positions 1573 to 2925 of the family's 2925-position model. The record is from RNAcentral.
GCCCCAUUAGGUGAAGUCAAUGAUCCCAUGCUGCCAAGAAAAGCCUCUAGCGAGCUCCGAGCGGCCCGUACCCCAAACCGACACAGGUGGUCAGGUAGAGAAUACCGAGGCGAUCGGGCGAACUGUGGUUAAGGAACUCGGCAAAUUACCCCCGUAACUUCGGGAGAAGGGGGGCCACAGACUGUCAUACCCCACGCGGGUGGCAGCAGUAGGUGGCCGCAGAGACCAGGGGGAAGCGACUGUUUACUAAAAACACAGGUCCGUGCGAAGUCGUAAGACGAUGUAUACGGACUGACGCCUGCCCGGUGCUGGAACGUUAAGGGGACCGGUUAGUCCGCAAGGGCGAAGCUGAGAACUUAAGCGCCAGUAAACGGCGGUGGUAACUAUAACCAUCCUAAGGUAGCGAAAUUCCUUGUCGGGUAAGUUCCGACCUGCACGAAUGGCGUAACGACUUCCCUACUGUCUCAACCACAGGCCCGGCGAAAUUGCACUACGAGUAAAGAUGCUCGUUACGCGCGGAAGGACGGAAAGACCCCGGGACCUUCACUAUAGCUUGACAUUGGUAUCCGAAUUUAAUUGUGUAGGAUAGGUGGGAGGCUUUGAUCCGCGGACGCCAGUCCGUCGGGGAGCCAACGUUGAAAUACCACUCUGUUGAAUUUGGGUAUCUAACUUCGGACCGUGAUCCGGUUCAGGGACAGUGUCUGGUGGGUAGUUUAACUGGGGCGGUUGCCUCCUAAAAUGUAACGGAGGCGCCCAAAGGUUCCCUCAGCCUGGUUGGCAAUCAGGUGUUGAGUGCAAGUGCACAAGGGAGCUUGACUGUGAGACUGACAGGUCGAGCAGGGACGAAAGUCGGGACUAGUGAUCCGGCACCUGCGAGUGGAAGCGGUGUCGCUCAACGGAUAAAAGGUACCCCGGGGAUAACAGGCUGAUCUUCCCCAAGAGUCCAUAUCGACGGGAUGGUUUGGCACCUCGAUGUCGGCUCGUCGCAUCCUGGGGCUGGAGUAGGUCCCAAGGGUUGGGCUGUUCGCCCAUUAAAGCGGCACGCGAGCUGGGUUUAGAACGUCGUGAGACAGUUCGGUCCCUAUCCUCCGCGCGCGUAGGAGACUUGAGAAGAGCUGUCCCUAGUACGAGAGGACCGGGACGGACGAACCUCUGGUGUGCCAGUUGUCAUGCCAAUGGCACGGCUGGUUAGCUACGUUCGGAAGGGAUAACCGCUGAAAGCAUCUAAGCGGGAAGCUCGCUUCAAGAUGAGGUCUCCCACCCCUUGAGGGUUAAGGCCCCCAGCUAGACCACUGGGUUGAUAGGCCAGAAGUGUAAGCCUGGUAACAGGUUCAGCCGACUGGUACUAAUAGGCCGAGGACUUCAUCAA